CAAGUCGAACGGUAACAGGAAGCAGCUUGCUGCUUUGCUGACGAGUGGCGGACGGGUGAGUAAUGUCUGGGACUGCCUGGAGGGGGAAACUACUGGAACCGGUAGCUAAUACCGCAUAACGUCGCAAGCACAAAGAGGGGGACCUUAGGGCCUCUUGCCAUCGGAUGUGCCCAGAUGGGAUUAGCUAGUAGGUGGGGUAACGGCUCACCUAGGCGACGAUCCCUAGCUGGUCUGAGAGGAUGACCAGCAACACUGGAACUGAGACACGGUCCAGACUCCUACGGGAGGCAGCAGUGGGGAAUAUUGCACAAUGGGCGCAAGCCUGAUGCAGCCAUGCCGCGUGUAUGAAGAAGGCCUUCGGGUUGUAAAGUACUUUCAGCGGGGAGGAAGGGAGUAAAGUUAAUACCUUUGCUCAUUGACGUUACCCGCAGAAGAAGCACCGGCUAACUCCGUGCCAGCAGCCGCGGUAAUACGGAGGGUGCAAGCGUUAAUCGGAAUUACUGGGCGUAAAGCGCACGCAGGCGGUUUGUUAAGUCAGAUGUGAAAUCCCCGGGCUCAACCUGGGAACUGCAUCUGAUACUGGCAAGCUUGAGUCUCGUAGAGGGGGGUAGAAUUCCAGGUGUAGCGGUGAAAUGCGUAGAGAUCUGGAGGAAUACCGGUGGCAAGGCGGCCCCCUGGACGAAGACUGACGCUCAGGUGCGAAAGCGUGGGGAGAAACAGGAUUAGAUACCCUGGUAGUCCACGCCGUAAACGAUGUCGACUUGGAGGUUGUGCCCUUGAGGCGUGGCUUCCGGAGCUAACGCGUUAAGUCGACCGCCUGGGGAGUACGGCCGCAAGGUUAAAACUCAGGGGGCCGCACAAGCGGUGGAGCAUGUGGUUUAAUUCGAUGCAACGCGAAGAACCUUACCUGGUC
This 913-nucleotide ribosomal RNA is filed under the name Escherichia coli. Its description in RNAcentral is "bacterial SSU rRNA". It matches the Rfam family "Bacterial small subunit ribosomal RNA", at positions 58 to 980 of the family's 1533-position model. Lineage: Bacteria; Pseudomonadati; Pseudomonadota; Gammaproteobacteria; Enterobacterales; Enterobacteriaceae. The record is from RNAcentral.